Molecule: unclassified non-coding RNA, 329 nt
Filed under: plant metagenome
Description: partial contains 5.8S ribosomal RNA, internal transcribed spacer 2, and large subunit ribosomal RNA
Rfam family: 5.8S ribosomal RNA (bases 1-105)
Source: RNAcentral
GAAAUGCGAUAAGUAAUGUGAAUUGCAGAAUUCCGUGAAUCAUCGAAUCUUUGAACGCACAUUGCGCCCUCUGGUAUUCCGGGGGGCAUGCCUGUCCGAGCGUCAUUGCAAACCCCUCAAGCACGGCUUGUGUGAUGGGCCCUCCCGCGUCUUGGUCGUCAAGACGGGCCCGAAAUGCAGUGGCGGCUUCGCGGUUAUCCGAUCAGCCAGAGCGUAUGGGGACUUUCUCUCUGUCACACGCCCGCGGCGCGGACCGACGCCUGUCGACCUUUAUUCAUCUUUUUCUCGGUUGACCUCGGAUCAGGUAGGGAUACCCGCUGAACUUAAGC